This 358-nucleotide ribosomal RNA is filed under the name uncultured bacterium. RNAcentral's name for it is "bacterial SSU rRNA". It matches the Rfam family "Bacterial small subunit ribosomal RNA", at positions 32 to 399 of the family's 1533-position model. The record is from RNAcentral.
AAUCAACGCUGGCGGCGUGCCUAACACAUGCAAGUCGCACGAGAAAGGGACUUCGGUCCUGAGCACAGUGGCGCACGGGUGAGUAACACGUGAAUCAUCUACCUUCGAGUGGGGAAUAACUGAGAGAAAUCUUAGCUAAUACCGCAUAAUACCUACGGGUCAAAGCAGCAAUGCGCUUGAAGAGGAGUUCGCGGCAGAUUAGUUAGUUGGCAGGGUAAUAGGCCUACCAAGACGAUGAUCUGUAUCCGGCCUGAGAGGGCGCACGGACACACUGGAACUGAAACACGGUCCAGACUCCUACGGGAGGCAGCAGUGGGGAAUAUUGCACAAUGGGCGAAAGCCUGAUGCAGCAACGCCG